CUCUGAAAUAGUUGUUAUAUAUGUAUAGUCCUGUAUUGGUAUGCGAUCGUUCAAAUGGGCUGGAGGGUCUUGGUGAGGAACUUGCAGUGGACGCGGUAUUGGUUUCUUCCACGUCCAUCAUCAUUCAUACCGACAAUGACGGAUCAAUGCGAACGUUGGAAAUUAACAGAGUAUUAUGUUAACGAGAUCAACGAGAUUGGAAUCAGAAGGGAUAUCGUACGGAAGGUGAGAAUUUUUGUCGAGCCCGCCAGUCUCUGAACGUCUGAUCUCACGGGGGCAGAAACCAUAAAGUCGGGGAACUUGACAAAGGGGUUGGGGGUUGGUUUCAUGCGCCCGUCCACGAGCGCGGACUUACGGAAAACAACUGACAAACGAUGUUACCCCCACCGUGA
Molecule: unclassified non-coding RNA, 392 nt
Filed under: Bombus terrestris (buff-tailed bumblebee)
Lineage: Eukaryota; Metazoa; Arthropoda; Insecta; Hymenoptera; Apidae
Description: misc RNA ENSBTSG00005028530.1
Source: RNAcentral